Molecule: ribosomal RNA, 447 nt
Filed under: uncultured bacterium
Lineage: Bacteria
Description: partial 16S ribosomal RNA
Rfam family: Bacterial small subunit ribosomal RNA
Source: RNAcentral
AACGAACGCUGGCGGCAGGCUUAACACAUGCAAGUCGAACGCCCCGCAAGGGGAGUGGCAGACGGGUGAGUAACACGUGGGGAUCUGCCCAAUGGUACGGAAUAAUUCCGGGAAACUGGGACUAAUACCGUAUGUGCCCGCAAGGGGAAAGAUUUAUCGCCAUUGGAUGAGCCCGCGUCGGAUUAGCUAGUUGGUGUGGUAAAGGCGCACCAAGGCGACGAUCCGUAGCUGGUCUGAGAGGAUGAUCAGCCACACUGGGACUGAGACACGGCCCAGACUCCUACGGGAGGCAGCAGUGGGGAAUAUUGGACAAUGGGCGCAAGCCUGAUCCAGCCAUGCCGCGUGAGUGAUGAAGGCCUUAGGGCUGUAAAGCUCUUUCGCCGACGAAGAUAAUGACGGUAGUCGGAGAAGAAGCCCCGGCUAACUUCGUGCCAGCCGCCGCCGUAA